Molecule: ribosomal RNA, 318 nt
Filed under: uncultured eukaryote
Lineage: Eukaryota
Description: partial 18S ribosomal RNA
Rfam family: Eukaryotic small subunit ribosomal RNA
Source: RNAcentral
CCCUUAGAUGUCCUGGGCCGCACGCGUGCUACACUGACGCAUACAGCGAGCACUUUCCAGUUCCGAGAGGCUACUGGUAAUCAUCAAUAUGCGUCGUGAUGGGGAUAGAUCUUUGGAAUUCUGGAUCUUGAACGAGGAAUGCCUAGUAAUCGCAGGUCAUUAGCCUGCGAUGAUUAAGUCCCUGCCCUUUGUACACACCGCCCGUCGCUACUACCGAUUUCGAGUGGUCAGGUGAAUCUUUCGGACUGUGGGCGCCCUUGAGGUGUUCGCGGAAAGUCAGGUAAAUCUUAUCACUUAGAGGAAGUAAAAGUCGUAACA